UACGGGGGGGGCAAGCGUUACUCGGAAUUGCUGGGCGUAAAGCGUGCGUAGGUGGUUUGUUAAGUCUGAUGUGAAAGCCCUGGGCUCAACCUGGGAAUUGCAUUGGAUACUGGCAGGCUAGAGUGCGGUAGAGGAUGGCGGAAUUCCCGGUGUAGCAGUGAAAUGCGUAGAGAUCGGGAGGAACAUCUGUGGCGAAGGCGGCCAUCUGGACCAGCACUGACACUGAGGCACGAAAGCGUGGGGAGCAAACAGG
This 253-nucleotide ribosomal RNA is filed under the name uncultured bacterium. Its description in RNAcentral is "partial 16S ribosomal RNA". It matches the Rfam family "Bacterial small subunit ribosomal RNA", at positions 524 to 776 of the family's 1533-position model. The record is from RNAcentral.